UGGGGAAUAUUGGACAAUGGGCGAAAGCCUGAUCCAGCCAUGCCGCGUGUGUGAAGAAGGUCUUCGGAUUGUAAAGCACUUUAAGUUGGGAGGAAGGGCAGUUACCUAAUACGUGAUUGUUUUGACGUUACCGACAGAAUAAGCACCGGCUAACUCUGUGCCAGCAGCCGCGGUAAUACAGAGGGUGCAAGCGUUAAUCGGAAUUACUGGGCGUAAAGCGCGCGUAGGUGGUUUGUUAAGUUGGAUGUGAAAUCCCCGGGCUCAACCUGGGAACUGCAUUCAAAACUGACUGACUAGAGUAUGGUAGAGGGUGGUGGAAUUUCCUGUGUAGUGGUGAAAUGCGUAGAUAUAGGAAGGAACACCAGUGGCGAAGGCGACCACCUGGACUAAUACUGACACUGAGGUGCGAAAGCGUGGGGAGCAAACA
RNAcentral lists this ribosomal RNA (427 nucleotides) under uncultured bacterium. RNAcentral describes it as "partial 16S ribosomal RNA". It matches the Rfam family "Bacterial small subunit ribosomal RNA", at positions 355 to 774 of the family's 1533-position model. The record is from RNAcentral.